This 208-nucleotide long non-coding RNA is filed under the name Mytilus galloprovincialis (Mediterranean mussel). Lineage: Eukaryota; Metazoa; Mollusca; Bivalvia; Mytilida; Mytilidae. The record is from RNAcentral.
UCUUGUGUACAAUUUGGAAAUUAGUAUGGCGUUCAUUAUCACUGAACUAGUAUAUAUUUGUUUAGGGGCCAGCUGAAGGACGACUCCGGGUGCGGGAAUUUCUCACUACAUUGAAGACCUGUUGGUGACCUUCUGCUGUUGUUUUUUUCUAUGGUCGGGUUGUUGUCUCUUUGGCACAUUCCCCAUUUCCAUUCUCAAUUUUAUUAUA